Molecule: long non-coding RNA, 1245 nt
Organism: Paramacrobiotus metropolitanus
Lineage: Eukaryota; Metazoa; Tardigrada; Eutardigrada; Parachela; Macrobiotidae
Exons: 2
Source: RefSeq, a predicted model, not a curated record
CACUGCUAAUAUAACCGGCAGAAACUAACCCAAUUAACUGCAAACUGGACUUUCUUUCUGGACGUAAGCUAUACGAGCUACGCAAUAACGCUUUCCAAAUAGUUUGCGGCGUUAAGCCAUCAACAGCGUAUAGACCGCGCUGGUGCACUGCACUGCGAGAUUUUGGGAGGCUAUAUCGGAAGUUUUUAGCCAUACGGCAGCCAUGCAGACGAUUUCAGAGAAUUGGAGAUCUGUAGUGUUUAUAAGUGUUCUUCUUCUCUCAACUGCCGGUGUACAAGGCACUGUGGAUGAGCUGUACAGUGACACCAUGGACGAUAUUAUGAUUCAGGCGGGAUUCAGCCUGUCUAACAACGUCCACAACUAUCCACCCGUUCCAAACUGUACGCUUUUGCCACAGGGCGCGGCUGGGAGCUACCAUCACCAGGGUUUGUACUUAAAUUUGGAAGGUCAACCGCAACUCCAAGUGGAGAAAGGACACAUCCAACCGAGUCCAGUUUUCGCAUUGCACUGCAGCGCGCACAUACUGUGGCCGACAAUAACCAUCACCCGUACGUCGACUUCUACGGAAACAUACACAACAACAUCCACUAGUACUACAACCAGUACGUCUACGACCACCAUCACAGACACGUCCACAUACACAACCACCGUUACCAGCGGCUAGUCGACAACGGACACACAUUAUUAUAAUGGUGACACUAUAGCCACCCACCCCGUUAUUUUUAGCCACUCCAUUUCCGCACCCCGUUAAUUAUAGGCAUCCUUUUUUUAGUUAUUUAAUUAAAUUACUGUUUAGACACCCCAUUUUUUAUAGGCCCAAGACACCCCUUCAUUCUAUAUUACUUACUUUAUAGUCAGUACUCCAGGUGUUUCUGUUUAUUUAGCACUAAGCCAGGGUGGCUAUAAAGGACGGGUUGCGAAGGGGUGACUAUAAAAAACGGGGGUGAAAAUGGUUGGCUGUAGUGAUUUCCUUAUUGUAAAUCCUGCGACCAUGGGCACACGUUUUUAUGGCUGUCUAUGUUAUGUUUGGAGACGUAAAAAACGCCAUACCUCUUCCCGAAUAAUUUUUUUUUUAUCAGUGCUUAUUCGUCUUUCGCACUUUUCUUCUUUGUGGAAAGAGUUGUGUUUGCAAUUUGUAGUGUGAUUGUCAGACGGGGUAACGGUAACAAAUAGCCGCUAAGGCAACAAAAUAAGAGCAUUUCAACAGUACAAAGCCCGAUUUGGUAAAAUAAAUGUUCGAUCGGA